UAGGAACCUGCCGCGUCGUGGGGGAUAACGCUGGGAAACCGGCGCUAAUACCGCAUGUGGUCAUGUGGAAACACGUGAAGAAAGCAGCAAUGCGCGACGUGAGGGGCCUGCGGCCGAUUAGCUAGUUGGAGAGGUAAUGGCUCACCAAGGCGACGAUCGGUAGCUGGUCUGAGAGGAUGGUCAGCCACACUGGGACUGAGAUACGGCCCAG
RNAcentral lists this ribosomal RNA (211 nucleotides) under uncultured bacterium. Its description in RNAcentral is "partial 16S ribosomal RNA". It matches the Rfam family "Bacterial small subunit ribosomal RNA", at positions 118 to 334 of the family's 1533-position model. The record is from RNAcentral.